UCCCUGUAGCCGCGAAGAGGCAGCCGGG
RNAcentral lists this small RNA (28 nucleotides) under Bombyx mori (domestic silkworm). RNAcentral's name for it is "ovarian small RNA-27414". Lineage: Eukaryota; Metazoa; Arthropoda; Insecta; Lepidoptera; Bombycidae. The record is from RNAcentral.